Molecule: ribosomal RNA, 429 nt
Filed under: Bacillota bacterium
Lineage: Bacteria; Bacillati; Bacillota
Description: Firmicutes bacterium partial 16S ribosomal RNA
Rfam family: Bacterial small subunit ribosomal RNA
Source: RNAcentral
UGGGGAAUUUUGGACAAUGGGCGAAAGCCUGAUCCAGCAAUGCCGCGUGUGUGAAGAAGGCCUUCGGGUUGUAAAGCACUUUUGUCCGGAAAGAAAACGCCGUGGUUAAUACCCGUGGCGGAUGACGGUACCGGAAGAAUAAGCACCGGCUAACUACGUGCCAGCACCCGCGGUAAUACGUAGGGUGCAAGCGUUAAUCGGAAUUACUCGGCGUAAAGCGUGCGCAGGCGGUCCGCUAAGACAGAUGUGAAAUCCCCGGGCUUAACCUGGGACCUGCAUUUGUGACUGGCGUGCUAGAGUAUGGCAGAGGGGGGUAGAAUUCCACGUGUAGCAGUGAAAUGCGUAGAGAUGUGGAGGAAUACCGAUGGCGAAGGCAGCCCCCUGGGCCAAUACUGACGCUCAUGCACGAAAGCGUGGGGAGCAAACAGG